Molecule: transfer RNA, 69 nt
Filed under: Dipodomys ordii (Ord's kangaroo rat)
Lineage: Eukaryota; Metazoa; Chordata; Mammalia; Rodentia; Heteromyidae
Rfam family: tRNA
About the family: Transfer RNA (tRNA) molecules are approximately 80 nucleotides in length. Their secondary structure includes four short double-helical elements and three loops (D, anti-codon, and T loops).
Source: Rfam by way of RNAcentral
GGGAAGAUGGCUUAGUGGUAGAGCGCUUGACUUGCAUUGAAGCCCUGGGUUCAAUUCCUAUUGAACCCA